RNAcentral lists this ribosomal RNA (800 nucleotides) under Halobacillus sp. JSM 101036. Its description in RNAcentral is "bacterial SSU rRNA". It matches the Rfam family "Bacterial small subunit ribosomal RNA", at positions 37 to 805 of the family's 1533-position model. Lineage: Bacteria; Bacillati; Bacillota; Bacilli; Caryophanales; Bacillaceae. The record is from RNAcentral.
AGGGGGGGGGGGCUAUAAUGCAAGUCGAGCGCGGGAAGCGAGUGGAUCCCUUCGGGGUGAAGCUCGUGGAACGAGCGGCGGACGGGUGAGUAACACGUGGGCAACCUGCCUGUAAGACCGGAAUAACCCCGGGAAACCGGGGCUAAUGCCGGGUAAUACUUUUCUUCGCAUGAAGGAAAGUUGAAAGAUGGCUUCUUGCUAUCACUUACAGAUGGGCCCGCGGCGCAUUAGCUAGUUGGUGAGGUAACGGCUCACCAAGGCGACGAUGCGUAGCCGACCUGAGAGGGUGAUCGGCCACACUGGGACUGAGACACGGCCCAGACUCCUACGGGAGGCAGCAGUAGGGAAUCUUCCGCAAUGGACGAAAGUCUGACGGAGCAACGCCGCGUGAACGAUGAAGGUCUUCGGAUCGUAAAGUUCUGUUGUUAGGGAAGAACAAGUACCGUGCGAAUAGAGCGGUACCUUGACGGUACCUAACGAGGAAGCCCCGGCUAACUACGUGCCAGCAGCCGCGGUAAUACGUAGGGGGCAAGCGUUGUCCGGAAUUAUUGGGCGUAAAGCGCGCGCAGGCGGUUCCUUAAGUCUGAUGUGAAAGCCCACGGCUCAACCGUGGAGGGUCAUUGGAAACUGGGGAACUUGAGGACAGAAGAGGAGAGUGGAAUUCCACGUGUAGCGGUGAAAUGCGUAGAUAUGUGGAGGAACACCAGUGGCGAAGGCGACUCUCUGGUCUGUUUCUGACGCUGAGGUGCGAAAGCGUGGGUAGCAAACAGGAUUAGAUACCCUGGUAGUCCACGCCGUAA